RNAcentral lists this ribosomal RNA (292 nucleotides) under uncultured bacterium. RNAcentral's name for it is "partial 16S ribosomal RNA". The record is from RNAcentral.
GGACUACCCGGGUUUCUAAUCCUGUUUGCUCCCCACGCUUUCGCGCCUCAGCGUCAAUACCAGUCCAGUUGGCCGCCUUCGCCACCGGUGUUCUUCCCAAUCUCUACGAAUUUCACCUCUACACUGGGAAUUCCACCAACCUCUCCUGGAUUCGAGCACGCCAGUAUCAAGUGCAAUUCCCGGGUUGAGCCCAGGGCUUUCACACCUGACUUAGCGCACCGCCUACGCGCCCUUUACGCCCAGUAAUUCCGAACAACGCUUGCCCCCUUCGUAUUACCGCGGCUGCUGGCAC